UACGUCAACGAAAACUGUUCAUAUCAAGAAACCAGGUGGGCAUUGGCAUCGAAUUGCCAAAGAAAUUGGAAAUGCUUGCAGCUAUUUUUGGUAAAUUUGCAAAUUGACGAAACGUUAUGCAAUUUCAAUUGUCAGUCACUCGGCCCGCGUCCCAGCUGUUCUUCUCAGUGACCUAGUCGUUGCCGUGGCAGACGAGCGUGCGCCAAGGCCCUCCUCCUCUGCACCCUCAGCUCAGCAAUCUGUGUGCAUUGCGCAGCUUUCGUUUUCAAUGGUACUGCCAAUACACACACACACCCUCACACAUACACAGGCGCAGACAAACUAUCGCAGGCACAACCCUGUUGGUAUUGUUUUCUGCAACAGCUGUCGAGCUGCAACUGCCCUCUAUUAUUUUCCUUGUUGCGUAAGAGCUUACACCUCAAAUUGCAAAAAAACAGACGCACACACAUACGAAACAAAACAGCUGAAAAUCAAUAGACAAACAAUCAACAUAUGAAUGUGUGUGUGUGUGCGUGUGUGCUUUACCUUACACCAACGCAUUUGUUCUUGCCUCUGUAUUGGCCACCUUCACGUUCAUGGACAUGGACACAGCUAUACAUACAUAAAUACACAUAUAUGUACAUGCGCGCAUAUAUUUUCCACGCUUCUAUUGCCAAAUUCUAAAUUUAUAAACAUUUUGAGAACGACGCAUUUCUGUAUACAGCCAUAUACA
This is a long non-coding RNA of Drosophila navojoa, 712 nucleotides long. The record is from RefSeq and is a predicted model, not a curated record. NCBI's taxonomy places the organism in Eukaryota, Metazoa, Arthropoda, Insecta, Diptera, Drosophilidae.